UUGAUUGGAGUUUAAAAGAACGUAACAUUUACACUGUUGAGGUUUUGUAAAGGCAAACAAUCAAA
RNAcentral lists this transfer RNA (65 nucleotides) under Eudohrnia metallica. RNAcentral's name for it is "tRNA-Val". Lineage: Eukaryota; Metazoa; Arthropoda; Insecta; Dermaptera; Forficulidae. The record is from RNAcentral.